RNAcentral lists this ribosomal RNA (301 nucleotides) under uncultured bacterium. RNAcentral's name for it is "partial 16S ribosomal RNA". It matches the Rfam family "Bacterial small subunit ribosomal RNA", at positions 509 to 807 of the family's 1533-position model. The record is from RNAcentral.
CAGUCGCCACGGGAAUACGAAGGGGGCUAGCGUUGCUCGGAAUUACUGGGCGUAAAGGGAGCGUAGGCGGAUCUUUAAGUCAGGGGUGAAAUCCCAAGGCUCAACCUUGGAACUGCCUUUGGUACUGGAGAUCUUGAGUCCGGGAGAGGUGAGUGGAACUGCGAGUGUAGAGGUGAAAUUCGUAGAUAUUCGCAAGAACACCAGUGGCGAAGGCGGCUCACUGGCCCGGUACUGACGCUGAGGCGCGAAAGCGUGGGGAGCAAACAGGAUUAGAUACCCCCGUAGUCCCUGUCUCUUAUAC